UCACAUACUUCUGGCCAGAACUCAGGCACAUAGACACAGCGAGCUGCAAGAGAAACUGGAGAUGCUGUUUCUAUUCCUGGCAUCUGUGCACUGAGCUAAAAUUCUAUUCCUGGGGAAGAAGAGAGGGGGUAACAGGGGCCAACUUAUUUUCUAACUGAAGGACAUUUUACAGACAGGAAAAGAUCAAGAGCAAAGGCUCUGAGGAGGGAGAGACCUUGUUUAAAGAAGAGAAAGAAGGCCAGCGUCACUCAGCGAUGGUUAAAGAGGAUGUGGGUUCAGGGAUGCAGACGGGGACAAGGCCACGUGAGGAUUUUUAAACCACGAGUAAGUGCCGCAGACAACAAGAGUACGUGGGUUUAGAGUUACAGCCUCAAAGGCGGUGUUGAUGGCAAACUGGAUAACCUCUUGCUGAGACGGAAAGGAGUAUUCUGGGCUGCAGUAUCUGCAAGAUGGAAAUAUGGUAAAGCGUGUGGACUUUCUGGCCAGCAAGAAGAGAACGUUCCAUGGUGGGAUCUGCUCUG
Molecule: long non-coding RNA, 521 nt
Organism: Phacochoerus africanus (Common warthog)
Lineage: Eukaryota; Metazoa; Chordata; Mammalia; Artiodactyla; Suidae
Exons: 3
Source: RefSeq, a predicted model, not a curated record